CUCGUAGUUGAAUUUCUGGUCUCGAGACGCGGUCAGCUCCAAGGAGUUUGUACUUGCGGAUUGGGACCAUCCUCGAGAAGAACAUAUCUGUCAUUGAGUUGAUGGGUAUGGGAAUCUCGUCAUUUACUGUGAGCAAAAUAGAGUGUUCAAAGCAGGCUUACGCCGUUGAAUACAUUAGCAUGGAAUAAUAAGAUAGGACCUUGGUCUAUUUUGUUGGUUAGUUCUCCAAGGUAAUGAUUAAUAGGGACAGUUGGGGGUAUUCGUAUUCAAUUGUCAGAGGUGAAAUUCUUGGAUUUAUGGAAGACGAACUACUGCGAAAGCAUUUACCAAGGAUGUUUUCAUUAAUCAAGAACGAAAGUUAGGGGAUCGAAGAUGAUUAGAUACCAUCGUAGUCUUAACCAUAAACUAUGCCGACUAGGGAUUGGUGGGUGUUAUUAGCGACUCCAUCAGCACCUUAUGAGAAAUCAAAGUCUUUGGGUUCCGGGGGGG
Molecule: ribosomal RNA, 489 nt
Filed under: uncultured eukaryote
Lineage: Eukaryota
Description: SSU rRNA
Rfam family: Eukaryotic small subunit ribosomal RNA
Source: RNAcentral